Ochotona curzoniae (black-lipped pika) is the source of this 2703-nucleotide long non-coding RNA. RefSeq lists it as uncharacterized. The transcript is spliced from 2 exons. NCBI's taxonomy places the organism in Eukaryota, Metazoa, Chordata, Mammalia, Lagomorpha, Ochotonidae. The record is from RefSeq and is a predicted model, not a curated record.
UCCUCUGCUGCUUUCCCAGGCCACAAGCAGGGAGCUGGAUGAGGAGUGGAGCUGCCGGGACUAGAAUCUGCACCAAUAGAGGAUUCCCGCGUGUUCAAGGCGAGGACUUUAGCUGCUAGGCCACAGCGCUGGGCCCUGAAUUAUCUUCUUUAACUUUCUGGGAUAGUCUUUUGGUCUAGCAGUAAAGACACUCCUUCAGGUUUCCUUCAUCCGCAUCCAUGUGCCUGGCAGCGAGGUCAUGGCUUGAAUAGCUGGGUCCCUGCCGCUCAUGGGAAGACUCAUCCUGAGAUUCCAGGCCCUGGCUUUGGCAUGACCCAGCCUCAGGCGCUGAAACAACAUAUGGGUACACCAUCUGUCUCUCCUCUUCUCCCUGCCCUCUCAAGUUAGUAACUAAGUACCCUUCCUUGACAGUUUAUCCCACAACUGAAACACCUAGUGAUGCUUGGAAGGUUUGACUACCAGAGUCUGCAUCUGUCAGGUCUUCCGCCAGGUCUUUCUUGGGAUCUGACAUACUUGGGUAAGCAUCACCAGGGCUGUGGUUCUGCAAGGGAAGCUCGUGAGCACGGUGGAUCUGUCCCACGCUCCUUGGUUCUCUUCAUGCUCUUCAGAAGCCACAUGGAACAGAGUCCACUAACACAUGUGACACGUUAUUUUCAUUAUAGGAAUAUAUUUUGGCUUCCUUUCUAAUCCUUUUCAUUAAUUUCACUCUUUUAAAAAAUGUCAUUGGGUUAAGAAUUUAUUAGGUGCAAAGAGAUCAUAUUUUGGACCACCAAAUGCAGAAUGGAGACAGAACUGGAGAUAUGAGAAAGAAAGGAAGGAAGGGGAAAAAAAGAAAACGAAUAUAGGAAAGUUUUUAAAAACUGAAAAUGGGAGGGGGGAAAAUGAAGGGACAUACUUCCUGUUUCCUGGGGUUACCUAAAUGUUCUUCAUCCCAGCCUCGCCCUUCUUGUGGGGUCCACAGCCACACAGCCUUUUGAGUGUUUCUAAGGUCAAGCUUCCGAGCACUUUCUCAGGCACAGCAGGCUAAACCAGUAUUUGGGUAUAGUGUGGGUAUGCAAUAAAGGUUAAAACCAACCUGAGUCAAUUUUCUGGUUUCUUGGUUAAGUUCCUUUGAGUUGGCCAGAUAUUUUCACCUAACAAAUAAAUACGGGUUAAGUAUAUAGGUGUUGUCAGAAGGAAAAUGGUAGUAAAGAGACCUCUGCCCUCUAGGAACUCAAAGUUUAAUAACAGGGACAAAAAUAUCUUAGCCAAAGAGCCACAGAAGAUAGAACUUAAAUCUAAAUCUUACAGGCUGUAUCUUUAUUCUAGAGUGACAGAGUUAGCAAAGAAGUUAAACAUGAAAGGAAAAGAAAGAGCACAGAUGGAGAGACCAAAAGAGUACAUGAAUAAGCUAGCCAUAGUUCAUGAGAAAGCUAAGUACCAAAGAAGGACGUACCAAAGAAGGCUUUACGAAGUUCUCGUGUCUUCAAACAAAGGUGACCAAACUGUCUCCCCGUCUACUGUUUCUUGAUGGUUGAAAAUCCAACCCCAAGGGUAUUGAGCCUUCUGCACUUGCAAGUUGUUUCCCCUACUUCAGGCAAUCACUGAGGAAGUUGAGCACCUCGAAAUGCUGUCUGCUGAGUGCCUAGCCGUGUCUCACUCCUGCCAGCAUCACACACGGAAUCCUUGGUCAGUGACAGCAGUCACAGCGUGUUUGGCUUAAUGACAAAGGGUAGCUGGGCUCCAUUACCAAGGUCAUCCUUUUCUGGAAGCAAGCAAGUCCUAUGGCUCAGAGCCAAGAGCACCUGAGUUGGUGCAUGAAAUGGAUCCAGCAGAGCAGCAGAUUCAGUGCAGUGUGCUACAUGCCUGGCUCGAUCACGGUCGAAGGCAAUGCUUUAUUCAAGAGGAACAAAGACUUGGGAAUUUUCCUACUUUCACCUCAAUGUAUGGUGAACAUGGUAAAGCAACAGUAUUUAUUCCAUUUUCUAUAAUAAAUCUUCAUGAAUUCAUCUUGUCAAAAGCCAUAAAACACACACACACACACACACACACACACACACACACACACACACGCACACACACACACAUCAAAGCUUGGGGAAGGAUUAAUAACAUCCCAGCACUCAUAAACUGUCUAUUGAAUUCAUUUUUAGUGACCCAAAACAUUAGAAAUUCAGAUUAAAUGAAGACUAAGUAUAAACAGUGUCGAAGUAUCCUAGCCCAGCUCAGGAUGCAAAUUGACCUAAUUAUGCAGAUACUUGGAAUGACUGUCCUAACCCACAGGACUUAUGCAAGCAUGCAACAAGUUUACAUCCCACAGUACCCACGAAAUGACAGCUCUGUGGAAGAUGGUAGGCAGUGGGGACUGGGGAAGAAACGUCUAGCUCCAAAGAAGCCCACCAUCAAACUGAUUCCAACCACUGAUUUUCCAAGAUGAGAAAAUAGUUACUCCCUGUCAACAUACUUCUACAAUGCCUGGUUAAAGCCAGCAUCUUUCUGUGGUUCGACACACCACACGCUGCACUCAUAUAUGUCUCAUGUUUUCUUACACAGACUCUCUUAACACACCUCAAGGCAAGGGAAUAUGGGUUAUCCUUGGCCCUUAGGCAAUUCUAACGCACUUACACCUGAUCCAUGCUUGACUGUUACUUUGUCUCCCAACUCAUCAGUUACUCUCCCCUCCUUUAGUUCUAUAUAUAUGGCCUAAAUUCCUAAAACCCCAUA